GAGUUUGAUCUUGGCUCAGGAUGAACGCUAGCGGCAGGCUUAACACAUGCAAGUCGAGGGGCAGCAGGUCUUCGGACGCUGGCGACCGGCAAACGGGUGCGGAACACGUACGCAAUUUACCCUUGUCUGGGGGAUAGCCCGGAGAAAUCCGGAUUAACACCCCAUAAGAUAUUAGAGUGGCAUCACUCAGAUAUUAAAACUCCGGUGGACAAGGAUGAGCGUGCGUCCCAUUAGGUAGUUGGUGAGGUAACGGCUCACCAAGCCGACGAUCUUUAGCUGAUGUGAGAGCAUGAUCAGCCACACGGGCACUGAGACACGGGCCCGACUCCUACGGGAGGCAGCAGUGAGGAAUAUUGGUCAAUGGGCGGAAGCCUGAACCAGCCAUGCCGCGUGAAGGACGAAGGCGUUCUGCGUUGUAAACUUCUUUUAUCUGGGAAGAAACCUACGAUUUCUAUUGUAGCCGACGGUACCAGAUGAAUAAGCACCGGCUAACUCCGUGCCAGCCGCCGCA
RNAcentral lists this ribosomal RNA (511 nucleotides) under uncultured Sphingobacterium sp. RNAcentral describes it as "partial 16S ribosomal RNA". It matches the Rfam family "Bacterial small subunit ribosomal RNA", at positions 9 to 519 of the family's 1533-position model. The record is from RNAcentral. Lineage: Bacteria; Pseudomonadati; Bacteroidota; Sphingobacteriia; Sphingobacteriales; Sphingobacteriaceae.